GAAAGGAAAUAUUCGGUAAAAGAUGGGCCCGCAUCUGAUUAGCUAGUUGGUGAGAUAAUAGCCCACCAAGGCAACGAUCAGUAGCCGACCUGAGAGGGUGACCGGCCACAUUGGGACUGAGACACGGCCCAAACUCCUACGGGAGGCAGCAGUGGGGAAUAUUGCACAAUGGGCGAAAGCCUGAUGCAGCAACGCCGCGUGAAGGAAGACGGUUUUCGGAUUGUAAACUUCUAUCAAUAGGGAAGAAAGAAAUGACGGUACCUAAAUAAGAAGCCCCGGCUAACUACGUGCCAGCAGCCGCGGUAAUACGUAGGGGGCAAGCGUUAUCCGGAAUUACUGGGUGUAAAGGGAGAGUAGGCGGCAAGGUAAGCGAUAUGUGAAAGCCUUAAGCUUAACUUAAGGGUGGCAUAACGAACUAUCUAGCUAGAGUACAGGAGAGGAAAGCGGAAUUCCUAGUGUAGCGGUGAAAUGCGUAGAUAUUAGGAAGAACACCAGUGGCGAAGGCGGCUUUCUGGACUGAAACUGACGCUGAGGCUCGAAAGCGUGGGGAGCGAACAGGAUUAGAUACCCUGGUAGUCCACGCUGUAAACGAUGAGUGCUAGGUGUCGGGGAGGAAUUCCCG
Molecule: ribosomal RNA, 622 nt
Filed under: uncultured bacterium
Lineage: Bacteria
Description: bacterial SSU rRNA
Rfam family: Bacterial small subunit ribosomal RNA
Source: RNAcentral